RNAcentral lists this ribosomal RNA (253 nucleotides) under uncultured bacterium. RNAcentral's name for it is "partial 16S ribosomal RNA". It matches the Rfam family "Bacterial small subunit ribosomal RNA", at positions 524 to 776 of the family's 1533-position model. The record is from RNAcentral.
UACGGGGGUGGCAAGCGUUGUUCGGAAUUACUGGGCGUAAAGGGCGCGUAGGCGGGGAGAUAAGUCGGGUGUGAAAUCCCUCGGCUCAACCGAGGAACUGCGCCCGAGACUGUCUUUCUUGAGUCCCGGAGAGGAAGGUGGAAUUCCCGGUGUAGCAGUGAAAUGCGUAGAGAUGCGGAGGAACACCGAUGGCGAAGGCAGCCCUCUGGGCCAACACUGACGCUCAGGCACGAAAGCGUGGGGAGCAAACAGG